Molecule: long non-coding RNA, 867 nt
Filed under: Marmota monax (woodchuck)
Lineage: Eukaryota; Metazoa; Chordata; Mammalia; Rodentia; Sciuridae
Source: RNAcentral
UAUAAAAAGGGUUAAUGGCUAAAAAAGAGAUAGAAAAAAAUUCAAGAUGUGGAAAUAUAUUUUAAUAUAAAAGGUUAAAGGAAAAAGAAAUGUUUCUAGAUGAGAUAAUCUGUGUGUGGUAAAGUAAAAAGGUGUAAAAUGCCAUUUAAAAAAGAUUUUGAGGAAACUAGACUUACUUUAAAAGCUUGAGAAAGGAAGAAAGAAGAAAAAGGUAUUUGUACAUGGCAGAUUGAGACAAAGCUUCUCAAUGGAGUUUAAAAAAAAAAAAAGAAGCCUUUGGUUGAAAGGCAGCCAUGUAAACUAACAUUGAAGCGAUUUAAACAAAAUCUAAGCCUCGUUUAAAAGAGUGAAGCUGUAGGUGGUGAAAAAGUACAUUUAAAAGUACAGUAUAGAUGAUAAUUAAAAGGCUUUAAAAGGUUAAAUUAAAGGUGGUUAAAAUGCCUUCAUGAUGGAGGAAAGCAGCUUAAUCUUAAAGGCAUUACUUAAAAAAAUGGGAAGAUAAUAGGAUAAAAGAUAUUUAGAUAAAGAAGAUUAAAAAUUUGAAGUGAAAAACUUUAAAGACAGAAGUAUAGAAAGUUAAAAAGAAAGAUAAACAAGAUAUAGAAAGAUUAAAAAAUGUAGGAAGACAAGAAUUUUAAACCCACAAAAUAGAAAAAAAAAAACUAGGAGGAAAAUAAGCAACUAAGGGUAAAAAUACAAACCUUAAAAAAAAAAAAAAACAACUAGAAGAUAGAAAUAAGAUAGAAAAUGGUUGAAAAUGUCAAGUAAGGUAUUACACAGAUAGAAAAUGCAAAAAGCUAAGACAACUAUUAGAUACAGACAUAUACUUAUUAAAGCAAAAAGAGGGAAUUGGAAAGGGGUAUAUAU